CGGUGAAUACGUUCCCGGACCUUGUACACACCGCCCGUCAAGCCGUGGGAGUUGGGGGUGCCUGAAGACGGUGACCUUGUAAGGAGCUGUUUAAGGUAAAACCGAUGACUGGGGCU
This 116-nucleotide ribosomal RNA is filed under the name uncultured bacterium. Its description in RNAcentral is "partial 16S ribosomal RNA". It matches the Rfam family "Bacterial small subunit ribosomal RNA", at positions 1360 to 1482 of the family's 1533-position model. The record is from RNAcentral.